Oncorhynchus tshawytscha (Chinook salmon) is the source of this 1445-nucleotide long non-coding RNA. NCBI's taxonomy places the organism in Eukaryota, Metazoa, Chordata, Actinopteri, Salmoniformes, Salmonidae. The record is from Ensembl.
ACCAAAAUGCAGCGUGGUUAUUUAUAAACAUCUUUAAUAAAGAUGAUAACGUGAACAAUAUACUUGUACAAAACAAGAAAAUGUGGAAAACCGAAAACAGUCCUAACAGGUGCAGAAAACACAAAGACAGGAACAAUCACCCACGAAAUACCCAAAGAAUAUGGCUGCCUAAAUAUGGUUCCCAAUCAGAGACAACGAUAAACACCUGCCUCUGAUUGAGAACCACUCUAGGCAACCAUAGACUUACCUAGAAUACUACACUGGACACAACCCCAUCAAUCUACAAAACCCCUAGACAAGACAAACACAUAAUCACCCAUGUCACACCCUGGCCUAACCACAAUAAUAAAAAAAACACAAAAUACUAAGGCCAGGGCGUGACAAUACAUUUAGUGUUGUAGAUAUGUAGUGGUGUAAUAUUGUGGUGUUGUGGUAUUAUACAUUUAGUAUUGUAGUGGUGUAAUAUUGUGGUAUGGUGGUAUCAUACAUUUAGUAUUGUAGAUAUGGAGUGGUGUACUAUUGUGGUAUGGUGGUAUUAUACAUUUAGUAUUGUAGAUAUGUAGUGUUGUAAUAAUGUGUUGUGCUAGUAUUAUACAUUUAGUAUUGUAGAUAUGUAGUGGUGUAAUAUUGUGGUAUGGUGGUACUAUAUAUUUAGUAUUGUAGAUGUGUAGUGUUGUAAUAAUGUGUUGUGCUGGUAUUAUACAUUUAGUAUUGUAGAUAUGUAGUGGUGUAAUAUUGUGGUAUUAUACAUUUAGUAUUGUAGAUAUUGUGGUGUGGUGGUAUUAUACAUUUAAUAUUGUAGAUAUGUAGUGAUGUAAUAUUGUGGUAUGGUGGUAUUAUACAUUUAGUAUUGUAGUGGUGUAAUAUUGUGUAUGGUGGUAUUAUACAUUUAGUAUUGUAGAUAUGGAGUGGUGGUAUUAUACAUUUAGUAUUGUUGAUGUGUAGUGGUGUAAUAUUGUGGUAUGAUGGUAUUAUACAUUUAGUAUUGUAGUGGUGUAAUAUUGUGUAUGGUGGUAUUAUACAUUUAGUAUUGUAGAUAUGGAGUGGUGUAAUAUUGUGGUAUUGUGGAAUUAUACAUUUAUUAUUGUAGAUAUGUAGUGGUGUAAUAUUGUGGUAUGGUGGUACUAUACAUUUAGUAUUGUAGUGGUGUACUAUUGUGGUAUGGUGGUAUUAUACAUUUAGUAUUGCUAAUAUGUAGUGGUGUAAUAUUGUGGUAUGGUGGUAUUAUACAUGUAGUAUUGUAGAUAUAUAGUGGUGUAAUAUUGUGGUAUGGUGGCAUUAUACAUUUAGUAUUGUAGAUAUGUAGUGGUGUAAUAUUGUGGUAUGGUGGUAUUAUACAUUUAGUAUUGUAGAUAUAUAGUGGUGUAAUAUUGUGGUAUGGUGGCAUUAUACAUUUAGUAUUGUAGAUAUGUAGUGGUGUAAUAUUGUGGUAUUAUACAUUUAGU